AUUGAACGCUGGCGGCAGGCCUAACACAUGCAAGUCGAGCGGGGUUUUCGGACCUAGCGGCGGACGGGUGAGUAAUGCGUAGGAAGCUACCCGAUAGAGGGGGAUACCAGUUGGAAACGACUGUUAAUACCGCAUAAUGUCUACGGACCAAAGUGUGGGACCUUCGGGCCACAUGCUAUCGGAUGCGCCUACGUGGGAUUAGCUAGUUGGUAAGGUAAUGGCUCACCAAGGCGACGAUCUCUAGCUGGUUUGAGAGGAUGAUCAGCCACACUGGAACUGAGACACGGUCCAGACUCCUACGGGAGGCAGCAGUGGGGAAUAUUGGACAAUGGGCGCAAGCCUGAUCCAGCCAUGCCGCGUGUGUGAAGAAGGCCUUCGGGUUGUAAAGCACUUUCAGCGAGGAGGAAGGGUUGUGUGUUAAUAGUACACAGCCUUGACGUUACUCGCAGAAGAAGCACCGGCUAACUCUGUGCCAGCCGCCGCCGUAA
Molecule: ribosomal RNA, 488 nt
Filed under: uncultured bacterium
Lineage: Bacteria
Description: partial 16S ribosomal RNA
Rfam family: Bacterial small subunit ribosomal RNA
Source: RNAcentral